Peromyscus californicus insignis is the source of this 1770-nucleotide long non-coding RNA. RefSeq lists it as uncharacterized. The transcript is spliced from 2 exons. The record is from RefSeq and is a predicted model, not a curated record. NCBI's taxonomy places the organism in Eukaryota, Metazoa, Chordata, Mammalia, Rodentia, Cricetidae.
GUGGCUGGGGGAAGAAGGGAGGGGCGGGUACGGGAGCUGCGGGCGCCCCCAGGACUCGUGACCGAAUGUGGAGGUGACCAAGAAACACCACCACCACCACCACCACCACCACCACCACCCCGUCCCACCCUGAGACCAGACUGUCCAACCUGAGGGAGUGGAACCGAUUCCCAACACGUGAGGAGUGAGUGUGUAGGAAACAGCAACCCGGAUGGUGAAAACCACCGCAGAACUGAAGCUGCAGUAGCAGCCGCAGCUCUUCCAGGCUGCGGUUGAUGCGGUCCCGGCGCCGCUUCUCCACCAGCGGCUUCAGCAUCUGUGACCAGCGGGGAAGGGAGAGCGGGCCGACCGGACCGGGACUCAGCGCCGCCACGCGAGCGUCCGAUCCUGCCGCUGGGAAAACCCAUGCGUCCCUUUCCCCCCCCGAGUCCCUGGUCGCCUAGGGCUGCUCCGUGCAUCCAUCCCCUCUUCCUCCCUCCUUCCCAGCGCCCUAGGGUCGGGUUCAGAGGCUCGCCCCCACUUCUCCCCGCUCCCUGCCCGCUGCCCCUUCUGUGCUCCGCUUCCUCUUGUCUCCCGUCUGUGACUCUCCUCUCUCUACAUCUCUAUCUGGUGUGGUCUCCCUCUCUGUGAAUCAGUGAAGAACUUUGGGGACACUCUUUGCCCCCCAACCCGCGCGGUGCGGCUCGGAGUUGGUAGCCCAGGGUGAAAGGGAGACACACAGCCCGGCCAACCACACCGCCCCUCCUCGCUCAAGCCCUUCCAGGCACUCGCCUACAAGUCGCCACUGGCUCUCCUAAAAUCACCACCGGGGCUCGCACCUCUGGAACCAACGACUCAAAAGUCUUCUCUUUGAGUCAGACGUGGUUCACAGCUGCUGACGGACAGACAGCGUCCAUAGCCUCUCCUCCUUUUGUUCCCGCCUCCCUCCCCCCCGGCUCUGUACCCUAGCUUAUUUUUUGCGUCAGUAGCGCGCACUCCAUGGCCUCGAACUCGCGGUAAUCCACCUGCCUCAGCGUCCCGAGCGCUAGGGUGGGCCACGGUGCCCAAAUUCUGGCACUCUCCGGCGCCCUCCAGGCCGCAAGCCGCAACCCACAGUAAUUCAAACCCCUAGACCUUGGCUGCCGCCGCCCACGCGAGUCGGGCUCUGACCCUGUCCUCUUCAUACUUUACAGGUUCUUUGGGUCGCACGAGCGCCUCUGUCCUUUUCAGUCCUGCGUCUCCAUCCUCACCCCUAACCCACAGUGUGAGGACCUGGAAGCCCUCUGGCCGGAACAGGGGACUCCCUGCUCCCUCCCUUCCCACCUCUCACCUUGGGGCCGUCCCUAUUCUCAGCUCGAUCCCGAGUGACCAUUGCGCGUCCGGACCCUGCGGUGGACACAGCGCGUGCUCCCUAGAUCUUUAUACCCCUCCUCGGCAGGGUAGGAGGGAUGGGACCCGGACCCGCCCCCUCGGGCUCCUGGAUGCCUGGGGCAAAGACCCUGGCACGAGGCUCCCGGAAAGGCGGGGACUGAGGGGGGAGGGGAAGGAGAGGAACUGGCCCCAAGUGUGGGAAGCGAGGGAAGGAAGGGGCCACAGGCUGGUUUAAGGACCCUAGGGCUGUAUAAGAAGGCGGGACCCCACUGGAGGGAGGGGACGAUUCGGGGGAGGGAGUUUAAGUGAAUUGGGACACAACUCGCUUGGACAUGGGAUUUGGGGAUCUCCUAGAGGAGUGGAUUCCUUGGAGGCUCACUAUGGCCUCGACCGCACUGAAAUAAAUGUUAGCACGCUGCA